This 315-nucleotide ribosomal RNA is filed under the name uncultured eukaryote. RNAcentral describes it as "partial 18S ribosomal RNA". It matches the Rfam family "Eukaryotic small subunit ribosomal RNA", at positions 1470 to 1796 of the family's 1831-position model. The record is from RNAcentral.
CCCUUAGACGUUCUGGGCCGCACGCGCGCUACACUGACCAGUGCAACAAGCAUCCGUCCUUGGCCGACAGGCCCGGGCAAUCUUUGAACGCUGGUCGUGAUGGGGAUAGACUUUUGCAAUUUUUGGUCUUCAACGAGGAAUUCCUAGUAAACGCAAGUCAUCAACUUGCAUUGAUUACGUCCCUGCCCUUUGUACACACCGCCCGUCGCACCUACCGAUUGAAUGGUUCGGUGAAGCCUCCGGAUUGGCGCGCACCUCGGUGCCGCCGAGAAGUUGGCUAAACCUUACCAUUUAGAGGAAGGUGAAGUCGUAACA